Non-coding RNA from Tetranychus urticae (two-spotted spider mite), 517 nucleotides. NCBI's taxonomy places the organism in Eukaryota, Metazoa, Arthropoda, Arachnida, Trombidiformes, Tetranychidae. The record is from RefSeq and is a predicted model, not a curated record.
GCAACCUACCGCAAACGUUUUAAUUCCCGUAAAAUUGCUUAAUUUUAAAUAAAAUGAAUCUUUUUUGUCACCAUUUUUAAUGAGCUUUAUUGUGUCUCUUAUUUACAAGUUUUUCAGAUCAUUCGUCGGAAUCAAGAGAGGUAUAAAUAAAUUAGAUAAAUUUAAAAAAGUGUUUUCGUUAAUGUUCAUCUAUCCUUUUUUGUCAAUAAAAAAUUAGUUGAAGCUGCUUAAUCUAUUACAAACGCUGAAAAGGAAGCUUUAUCCAACAAUCAAAGCGAUUUGCCGUACAGCAACAGCAAAUUGCAAGCCCAAGAGGAGAUCUCGCGGAAGUCGACUGGUUCGGGAUGGUUGAUAAAGAUAGUGCUAGUUUUUUUCUUCGGUCAUCUCUCUUAUUAUAAUAUCUGUUUUCAGAUUAAUGAGCGCCGGUAAGAACUCAAAUUUCCUGCAAAAAUGGAUAACCUUAAGUGGCGAAAUCGAACUCGAAAGACAAAGUUUCGGCCUUUACAUCUUUGGAUUG